This 644-nucleotide ribosomal RNA is filed under the name uncultured Actinomycetes bacterium. RNAcentral's name for it is "bacterial SSU rRNA". It matches the Rfam family "Bacterial small subunit ribosomal RNA", at positions 232 to 886 of the family's 1533-position model. The record is from RNAcentral. Lineage: Bacteria; Bacillati; Actinomycetota; Actinomycetes.
CGCGGCCUAUCAGCUUGUUGGUGAGGUAAUGGCUCACCAAGGCAUCGACGGGUAGCUGGUCUGAGAGGACGAUCAGCCACACUGGGACUGAGACACGGCCCAGACUCCUACGGGAGGCAGCAGUGGGGAAUAUUGGACAAUGGGCGAAAGCCUGAUCCAGCAACGCCGCGUGAGGGAUGACGGCCUUCGGGUUGUAAACCUCUUUCAGUAGGGACGAAGCGCAAGUGACGGUACCUACAGAAGAAGCACCGGCCAACUACGUGCCAGCAGCCGCGGUAAUACGUAGGGUGCGAGCGUUGCCCGGAAUUAUUGGGCGUAAAGGGCUCGUAGGCGGUUUGUCACGUCGGGAGUGAAAUCUCAGGGCUUAACCCUGAGCCUGCUUCCGAUACGGGCAGACUAGAGGUAUGCAGGGGAGAACGGAAUUCCUGGUGUAGCGGUGAAAUGCGCAGAUAUCAGGAGGAACACUGGUGGCGAAGGCGGUUCUCUGGGCAUUACCUGACGCUGAGGAGCGAAAGUGUGGGGAGCGAACAGGAUUAGAUACCCUGGUAGUCCACACCGUAAACGGUGGGCGCUAGGUGUGGGACUCAUUCCACGAGUUCCGUGCCGCAGCUAACGCAUUAAGCGCCCCGCCUGGGGAGUACGGA